RNAcentral lists this ribosomal RNA (326 nucleotides) under uncultured soil bacterium. RNAcentral describes it as "bacterial SSU rRNA". It matches the Rfam family "Bacterial small subunit ribosomal RNA", at positions 26 to 363 of the family's 1533-position model. The record is from RNAcentral.
AGAUUGAACGCUGGCGGCAUGCCUAACACAUGCAAGUCGAACGGGAGUAGCAAUACUCUAGUGGCGGACGGGUGAGGAAUACGUAGGAAUUUGCCCUUAAGUGGGGGAUAACCCGGGGAAACCCGGAUUAAUACCGCAUGACCUCGAAAGAGCAAAGUGGGGGAUCGCAAGACCUCACGCUUUUGGAGAAGCCUACGUCGGAUUAGCUAGUUGGUGAGUAAUGGCUCACCAAGGCGACGAUCCGUAACUGGUCUGAGAGGAUGAUCAGUCAACACCGGAACUGAGACACGGUCCGGACUCCUACGGGAGGCAGCAGGUGGGGAAUA